AUUGUUGGCCGGUAUGAAUGGCGUCACGAAGGCCCCACUGUCUUAAGAGGACUCUCCAUGAAAUUGAAUUCGUAGUGAAGAUGCUACGUCCAUAUUGUAAGACGAAAAGACCCCAUUGAGCUUUACUAAAGACUUGCAUGGCUCAAAAUAAUUUAAAUAAAAAGUUUAGAUAAUGUGGGAUCCGUUUCCGGUUAAUGAAACACCACUCUUUUAUUUUAAGAGAGCUAACAUCGCAGGGAUAAUGUAAGUUGGAUAGUUUGGUUGGGGCGACCACCUUUUAAAAGGUAACGAAGGUGGGCUUAAGGUCCGUAGUUAAUAGCCGGUGGCCUGACUGCAAGGGGGACGUCUCGAGCAGACACGUCCUUAGGGAUGUGGGCUAUAGUGACCCGUCAUCUUAGCGUGGAAUAGUUGACGAUCAA
Molecule: ribosomal RNA, 419 nt
Filed under: Bolocera kerguelensis
Lineage: Eukaryota; Metazoa; Cnidaria; Anthozoa; Actiniaria; Actiniidae
Description: partial 16S large subunit ribosomal RNA
Rfam family: Bacterial large subunit ribosomal RNA
Source: RNAcentral